AUACGAAUAACUACAACUGUCCCCUGAGAGAAGCUUGCUUAAGUAGGCAGAGGAAUAAAGGCUGCAUGCUUGCCAAGGGGGACUGUCCUUAUGUGACCUGUAUUCCAAGGACCAGAGGCCCACCCCCCGGGGGCCCUGCAUGUUCCCUCAGACCGUGAGGGUCUCUGUGUUAACUCUCCCAUGAGAAAA
Ceratotherium simum simum (southern white rhinoceros) is the source of this 189-nucleotide non-coding RNA. NCBI's taxonomy places the organism in Eukaryota, Metazoa, Chordata, Mammalia, Perissodactyla, Rhinocerotidae. The record is from RefSeq and is a predicted model, not a curated record.